AGACCCGAAACCCGGUGAUCUAGCCAUGGGCAGGUUGAAGGUUGGGUAACACUAACUGGAGGACCGAACCGACUAAUGUUGAAAAAUUAGCGGAUGACCUGUGGCUGGGGGUGAAAGGCCAAUCAAACCGGGAGAUAGCUGGUUCUCCCCGAAAGCUAUUUAGGUAGCGCCUCGUGAAUUCAUCUCCGGGGGUAGAGCACUGUUUCGGCUAGGGGGCCAUCCCGGCUUACCAACCCGAUGCAAACUGCGAAUACCGGAGAAUGUUAUCACGGGAGACACACGGCGGGUGCUAACGUCCGUCGUGAAGAGGGAAACAACCCAGACCGCCAGCUAAGGUCCCAAAGUCAUGGUUAAGUGGGAAACGAUGUGGGAAGGCCCAGACAGCCAGGAUGUUGGCUUAGAAGCAGCCAUCAUUUAAAGAAAGCGUAAUAGCUCACUGGUCGAGUCGGCCUGCGCGGAAGAUGUAACGGGGCUAAACCAUGCACCGAAGCUGCGGCAGCGACACUCAGGUGUUGUUGGGUAGGGGAGCGUUCUGUAAGCCUGCGAAGGUGGCCUGUGAGGGUUGCUGGAGGUAUCAGAAGUGCGAAUGCUGACAUAAGUAACGAUAAAGCGGGUGAAAAGCCCGCUCGCCGGAAGACCAAGGGUUCCUGUCCAACGUUAAUCGGGGCAGGGUGAGUCGACCCCUAAGGCGAGGCCGAAAGGCGUAGUCGAUGGGAAACGGGUUAAUAUUCCCGUACUUGGUGUUACUGCGAAGGGGGGACGGAGAAGGCUAUGUUGGCCGGGCGACGGUUGUCCCGGUUUAAGCGUGUAGGCUGGUUUUCCAGGCAAAUC
Molecule: ribosomal RNA, 831 nt
Filed under: Salmonella enterica subsp. enterica serovar Typhi
Lineage: Bacteria; Pseudomonadati; Pseudomonadota; Gammaproteobacteria; Enterobacterales; Enterobacteriaceae
Also listed under: 1 other name
Description: partial 23S ribosomal RNA
Rfam family: Bacterial large subunit ribosomal RNA
Source: RNAcentral